AUAACGCUGGCGGCGCACAUAAGACAUGCAAGUCGAACGGACGACUUUUAACUUGUUUUACUUGUUAAAGAAGUUAGUGGCGGACUGGUGAGGAACACGUAAAUAAUCUGCCUAUAAGAGGGGAACAACAGUGAGAAAUCACUGCUAAUACCGCAUAAUUCAUAUUGCUCGCAUGAACAGUAUGGAAAAGGAGUAAUCCGCUUAUAGAUGAGUUUGCGUCUGAUUAGCUAGUUGGUGUGGUAAUGGCAUACCAAGGCGACGAUCAGUAGCCGUGCUGAGAGGCAGAACGGCCACAUUGGGACUGAGAUACGGCCCAGACUCCUACGGGAGGCAGCAGUCGGGAAUAUUGCGCAAUGGAGGAAACUCUGACGCAGUGACGCCGCGUAUAGGAAGAAGGUUUUCGGAUUGUAAACUAUUGUAGACAGGGAAGAUACAAGACAGUACCUGUAAAGUAAGCCCCGGCUAACUAUGUG
RNAcentral lists this ribosomal RNA (473 nucleotides) under uncultured bacterium. RNAcentral describes it as "bacterial SSU rRNA". It matches the Rfam family "Bacterial small subunit ribosomal RNA", at positions 32 to 507 of the family's 1533-position model. The record is from RNAcentral.